CCAAUUUUUUGGUUCCUAAGACCAACGGAUAGCUCCUAUCCUUUAAAAGUUUGAGAGAGCCAUGUUUGUUGGACAUGGGGGCAUGAAUUAGCAGUUCUUGCAUACUUUCUCGGUAAAUAAGAAAUAUUGAGUUUCUGUUUCUAGAUCCACAAUCUAGUGUUUUUGUUAAACUAUAUUUACAGUACGUAAAGCCUAGGAUAAUUUUAGGGUUAAGUGACAGGAGUAGUAGGGGAGUCAUGUGGAGGGCCAUGAGUGCGUUUUCUCAUGUAAAUGAAGGUUUAAUGCUGUUGAUAUGGUGUGUGUAUUUCCCUCGUUGUGUUGUGAUUAGUAUGUAUAGGGAGUAGAGGGCGGUGAUGGUGAUAUUGGCUCCUAUUAGGAUAAUGGUAAUAUUUGAUCAUGAGAAUGAUGAUAUUACUACGAAUAGCUCUCCAAUUAGGUUAAUGCUGGGAGGGAGGGCCAGGCUGCUAUAAGGGGAAGAAGUGUUUGAAGCCCACGGGCUAGGAUUAUAGUUCGGCUAUGGGUACGUUCGUAAUUUGAGUUUGCCAGGCCGUGAGCGAUUAUUAGGGCUGUAGCUCCUAUAUAACUUCAUGGUGUUUGGAUGAGGACGGCUACGAUUACUAGGGCUAUGUGGCUGACAGAGGAGUAUGCAAUAAGUGAUUUUAGAUCGGUUUGUCGCAAGCAGAUGGAACUAGUUAUGAUUAUUCCUCACAGGGAUAGUAUGAGGAAGGGGUAGGCUAUAAAGCUAGUUUGGGGGUUUAGUAUUGUUGUAAUUCGUAGUAUUCCAUAGCCUCCUAGUUUUAGUAGAAUGGCUGCUAGCACUAUGGAUCCGGCAAUUGGGGCUUCUACAUGGGCUUUUGGGAGUCAGAGGUGAAGACCAUAUAGGGGUAUUUUGACUAUGAAUGCUAUUAUACAUGCUAGUCAUAGGAAAAUAUUGGAUCAAGAGUGGGGUAGUGCUUGGUUUCAGUAUUGAAUUAAUAGGAAGUUUAGUGAGCCUGUUAGGUUUUGGAUAGAGAUUAGUGCAACUAAGAGUGGGAGGGAACCUAUUAGUGUGUAGAAUAGGAAGUAGAGGCCUGCGUUCAGGCGUUCUGUUUGGUUGCCUCAGCGGGUGAUGAUAAUUAGUGUUGGAACUAAUGUGGCUUCAAAUAGGAUGUAGAAGGAGAUUAGUUCUGUGGCGGUAAAAGUCAUGAUUAGGAAAGUUUGAAGUAUGGUUAGCC
RNAcentral lists this long non-coding RNA (1214 nucleotides) under Equus caballus (horse). RNAcentral's name for it is "lncRNA (ENSECAG00000054404.1)". Lineage: Eukaryota; Metazoa; Chordata; Mammalia; Perissodactyla; Equidae. The record is from RNAcentral.